GACGAACGCUGGCGGCGUGCUUAACACAUGCAAGUCGAACGGAAAGGCCCUGCUUGCAGGGUACUCUAGUGGCGAACGGGUGAGUAACACGUGGGUGAUCUGCCCUGCACUUCGAGAUAAGCCUCGGAAACCGGGUCUAAUACCGGAUACGUCCCACUUCCAUCGUGUGGGGUGGGAAGCUUUUUCGGUGUAGGAUGAGCUCGCGGCCCAUCCGCCUGUUGGUGGGGUGAUGGCCUACCAGGGCGGCGACGGGUAGCCGGCCUGGGCGGGUGGACGGCCACAUUGAGACCGGGAUACGGCCCAGGCUCCUACGGGGGGCAGCAGUGGGGAGUAUUGCACAAUGGGCGCAAGCCUGAUGCAGAGACGCCGCGUGGGGGAUGACAGCCUUCGGGUUGUAAACUCCUUUCGCUAGGGACGAAGCUUUUUGUGACGGUACCUAGAUAAGAAGCACCGGCUAACUACGUG
RNAcentral lists this ribosomal RNA (465 nucleotides) under uncultured bacterium. RNAcentral describes it as "partial 16S ribosomal RNA". It matches the Rfam family "Bacterial small subunit ribosomal RNA", at positions 28 to 507 of the family's 1533-position model. The record is from RNAcentral.